GGCUUUAGCCUUAACCGUAGAGCGCGUAACUUUUAAUCACGGUGUCCGGGGUUCGAAUCCCCGAUGAGUCACCA
Molecule: transfer RNA, 74 nt
Filed under: Clostridiales bacterium
Lineage: Bacteria; Bacillati; Bacillota; Clostridia; Eubacteriales
Description: tRNA-Lys
Rfam family: tRNA
About the family: Transfer RNA (tRNA) molecules are approximately 80 nucleotides in length. Their secondary structure includes four short double-helical elements and three loops (D, anti-codon, and T loops).
Source: RNAcentral